UACGGAGGAUGCAAGCGUUAUCCGGAUUUAUUGGGUUUAAAGGGUGCGUAGGUUGUUUGAUAAGUCAGUGGUGAAAGUCUGUCGCUUAACGGUAGGAUUGCCAUUGAUACUGUUAGACUUGAAUAUGGAUGAGGUAGGCGGAAUGUGUAGUGUAGCGGUGAAAUGCAUAGAUAUUACACAGAACACCGAUUGCGAAGGCAGCUUACUAAUCCAUCAUUGACGCUGAGGCACGAAAGCGUGGGGAUCAAACAGGA
This 254-nucleotide ribosomal RNA is filed under the name uncultured prokaryote. RNAcentral describes it as "partial 16S ribosomal RNA". It matches the Rfam family "Bacterial small subunit ribosomal RNA", at positions 524 to 777 of the family's 1533-position model. The record is from RNAcentral.